RNAcentral lists this ribosomal RNA (876 nucleotides) under uncultured bacterium. RNAcentral's name for it is "bacterial SSU rRNA". It matches the Rfam family "Bacterial small subunit ribosomal RNA", at positions 22 to 898 of the family's 1533-position model. The record is from RNAcentral.
GCUCAGGAUGAACGCUAGCGGCAGGCCUAAUACAUGCAAGUCGAGGGGCAGCACGGGGGCAACCCUGGUGGCGACCGGCAGACGGGUGCGGAACACGUACGCAACCUUCCCAAAACUGGUGAAUAGCCUUCCGAAAGGGAGAUUAAUACACCGUAACUUAAUGAAGUGGCAUCACUUUAUUAAUAUAGCUCCGGCGGUUUUGGAUGGGCGUGCGCCUGAUUAGGUAGUUGGUGAGGUAACGGCUCACCAAGCCUGCGAUCAGUAACUGGUGUGAGAGCACGACCAGUCACACGGGCACUGAGACACGGGCCCGACUCCUACGGGAGGCAGCAGUAAGGAAUAUUGGUCAAUGGACGCAAGUCUGAACCAGCCAUGCCGCGUGAAGGAUUAAGGCCCUCUGGGUUGUAAACUUCUUUUAUAGGGGACGAAAAAAGGGCAUUCUUGCUCACUUGACGGUACCCUAGGAAUAAGCACCGGCUAACUCCGUGCCAGCAGCCGCGGUAAUACGGAGGGUGCAAGCGUUAUCCGGAUUUACUGGGUUUAAAGGGUGCGUAGGUGGGUUGGUAAGUCAGUGGUGAAAUCUUCGAGCUUAACUCGGAAACUGCCAUUGAUACUAUCAAUCUUGAAUCAUCUAGAGGUAAGCGGAAUAUGUCAUGUAGCGGUGAAAUGCUUAGAUAUGACAUAGAACACCAAUUGCGAAGGCAGCUUACUAUGGAUGCAUUGACACUGAGGCACGAAAGCGUGGGGAUCAAACAGGAUUAGAUACCCUGGUAGUCCACGCCCUAAACGAUGGAUACUCGACAUUUGUGAUAUACUAUAAGUGUCUGAGCGAAAGCAUUAAGUAUCCCACCUGGGAAGUACGACCGCAAGGUUGAA